RNAcentral lists this ribosomal RNA (129 nucleotides) under uncultured Alkaliphilus sp. RNAcentral's name for it is "partial 23S ribosomal RNA". It matches the Rfam family "Bacterial large subunit ribosomal RNA", at positions 1 to 129 of the family's 2925-position model. The record is from RNAcentral. Lineage: Bacteria; Bacillati; Bacillota; Clostridia; Peptostreptococcales; Natronincolaceae.
GGUCAAGUUAAUAAGAGCAUAGGGCGAAUGCCUUGGCACUAGGAGCCGAAGAAGGACGUGGUAAGCUGCGAAAAGCUACGGGGAACUGCAAGCAAGUGUAGAUCCGUAGAUGUCCGAAUGGGGAAACCC